CCUGGGAGCUGUGCCCUGCUCCGGGGACAGUGCAGCAGUACAGGGGAAGGAGCUGCUGCAGUUUCACCCUUUAAUGCCAGGUGUUUCACGUGGAGGUUACGGAGCUAUGGAAUUGUUGGCUGGAAGCGACCUCUGGAGGUCUCCAGCCCAAAGGCCCCAUCGGAGCGGCACCCAUGGACACCAGGUUACAUCAGCCACAGCCACGUCUGAAAAGCUCCAGGGCUGAAAGCUCCCGUGCCCCCCCCCCCCCCCCGAGAUGACCAGUGGCCGUGCUGGUCACUACCUUGGCAAGAAGAUUCCCCUGGGUUCAGGCUGCCCCUCCCACUGACCCUUUAGCCAUCACCCCCAGCUGUGCUGGCUCUGGCGCGUUAGUAACUGCGCUUGAGUAGCUGCAAACUGCCCUUGGAUUUGCCUCAGCCGCCUUCUCGCCAAAGCAAACAGGUUACUCCUUGUGCGCCGGCUGCUGGACCCUCUUCUCUAUGGCUCUUUUGAACGGGGAUGCUGUGGUGCUCUUGUUGCUUGUGUGGCAGCAGCUCAAGGGACUGGGCCCAGCCCUGCUGGAGGAGAACAGGACCAGUGACAGCCUGACAUUGCCCCAGAGGCUUCUCAACUCCUGGGUAACUUCAUCCUCAGCUGCUGAAGGUGGCUGCUGGGUCACUUUUGUCAGUGGGACUGGAAGGGAGCCAUCACCUGCCUCCUGGAUGGCCUGCCAGCCCUGGUGUGUGGUUAAACAGGAAAUAUUCUAACUGGCUGGGAUCCCAGUGAGCAAUUACAAAUAUUUUAUUAUAGUUAAAGGACUUGGAAUUCAGCCUCAGGCUGUGGGCAUCAGAAAAUCCAUGUGUGGAAAUCCCAAGUGUUGCAAGCAGCCUGGGAGGGUUUUAUAUGGAGGGAUUCCUUCUCAUUUUACUGAAGUUACACUCGUGGUUUAAAAAUAAAAUAAAAAGCUUGGACUUGCA
This 956-nucleotide long non-coding RNA is filed under the name Zonotrichia albicollis (white-throated sparrow). Its description in RNAcentral is "lncRNA (ENSZALG00000001057.1)". Lineage: Eukaryota; Metazoa; Chordata; Aves; Passeriformes; Passerellidae. The record is from RNAcentral.